This 242-nucleotide ribosomal RNA is filed under the name uncultured soil bacterium. Its description in RNAcentral is "partial 16S ribosomal RNA". It matches the Rfam family "Bacterial small subunit ribosomal RNA", at positions 26 to 262 of the family's 1533-position model. The record is from RNAcentral.
AGAUUGAACGCUGGCGGCAUGCCUUACACAUGCAAGUCGAACGGCAGCACGGGAGCAAUCCUGGUGGCGAGUGGCGAACGGGUGAGUAAUAUAUCGGAACGUGCCCAGUCGUGGGGGAUAACGCAGCGAAAGCUGUGCUAAUACCGCAUACGAUCUAUGGAUGAAAGGCGGGGGAUCGACAACGCCUCGCGCGAGUUGGACGCGGACCGAUAUCAGAUUAGCUAGGUUGGGUAGGGGUAAAA